CGACGUCAAAUCAUCAUGCCCCUUAUGACCUGGGCUACACACGUACUACAAUGGCAGUCAUACAGAGGGAAGCAAUAUGGUGACAUGGAGCAAACCCCUAAAAGCUGUCCCAGUUCAGAUUGCAGGCUGCAACCCGCCUGCAUGAAGUCGGAAUUGCUAGUAAUCGCGGAUCAGCAUGCCGCGGUGAAUACGUUCCCGGGCCUUGUACACACCGCCCGUCACACCAUGAGAGCCGGUAAUACCCGAAGUCCGUAGCCGAACCGCAAGGAGGGCGCGGCCGAAGGUAGGACUGGUAAUUAGGGUGAAGUCGUAACAAGGUAGCCGUAUCGGAAGGUGCGGCUGGAUCACCUCCUUUCUAAGGAGA
RNAcentral lists this ribosomal RNA (364 nucleotides) under Clostridiaceae bacterium. RNAcentral's name for it is "bacterial SSU rRNA". It matches the Rfam family "Bacterial small subunit ribosomal RNA", at positions 1180 to 1533 of the family's 1533-position model. Lineage: Bacteria; Bacillati; Bacillota; Clostridia; Eubacteriales; Clostridiaceae. The record is from RNAcentral.